GUGAGUUAAUGACCUCGAAGUCGAGCUGCUGAUUCUAAUGAAGAAAUUCAUGUCGGACCGUUGAGAGAGGCGCUAGCACGCUCUUGUGAAACGAGAGAGUUCUUCUGCCGGCUAAGGACACUUUGAUGAUGUUUGCGUAUUAACUAAUGAUCCUCUCCACCUAUGUGCAUUCCCUGAUGAAGGAAAUUAUGGUUGAAAUUGAUGCGCGUGCCGCUGUUAACGAGCCGUGUGCAUCGCGUGUUGCCAUUUUUGGUUUAGAAACGUUUAAGGACACGAUGCAAGCACAACGCGACAUUUGUCGACGAUCACGGGUCACGCACAAGCGCCAUGGGACGUAGAUUCGACGAGUUUGCGUGGUAGACAGCUGGAUCGACGCUGGGCGUCGCCAUCGUGGGGUUGAAACGAACAGUAUAAAGCGGGGUGGCGUCGCUUUGGGACUUGAGAGGGGGAAGUCCGACAUAGUUGCACCAGCAGACAGUGGCGUGUCCGAUCGGCUCCACGGAGACUUGCAGACUGUCUCAUGAUCCGGCCUCGUCCCUCCUCGGGCCAGGAACAGUCAUUAACAUAAAUUGUCUUCGGUGACAGUUAUAUCCACCACUCUUCGCCACAGUCUCUACCGAAAUAAUAUUAAGCCGCGGAACUUCUGCCCUCUGGAGAGGACUCAUAAUCAAUUCGAUUUUCUCAAAUCUCCGUACGAACAGAACUGGGCCGUGUUUUGAUUAAAAUAUGUAACUAGGUUGUCAUGUAUUUUAUUAUUUUAUGCUUCUAUCGCGGAAUAUUAUGGAAUUAUGACAUGAAUGUAAUUAAGUACUUGUAAUGUUAGUAACUAACGC
RNAcentral lists this unclassified non-coding RNA (833 nucleotides) under Bombus terrestris (buff-tailed bumblebee). Its description in RNAcentral is "misc RNA ENSBTSG00005032339.1". The record is from RNAcentral. Lineage: Eukaryota; Metazoa; Arthropoda; Insecta; Hymenoptera; Apidae.